This 301-nucleotide ribosomal RNA is filed under the name uncultured bacterium. Its description in RNAcentral is "partial 16S ribosomal RNA". It matches the Rfam family "Bacterial small subunit ribosomal RNA", at positions 509 to 808 of the family's 1533-position model. The record is from RNAcentral.
CAGCAGCCGCGGUAAUACGUAGGUCCCGAGCGUUGUCCGGAUUUAUUGGGCGUAAAGCGAGCGCAGGCGGUUAGAUAAGUCUGAAGUUAAAGACUGUGGCUUAACCAUAGUAUGCUUUGGAAACUGUUUAACUUGAGUGCAGAAGGGGAGAGUGGAAUUCCAUGUGUAGCGGUGAAAUGCGUAGAUAUAUGGAGGAACACCGGUGGCGAAAGCGGCUCUCUGGUCUGUAACUGACGCUGAGGCUCGAAAGCGUGGGGAGCAAACAGGAUUAGAUACCCGCGUAGUCCCUGUCUCUUAUACA